Molecule: RNA transcript, 1489 nt
Organism: Musa acuminata AAA Group (dessert banana)
Lineage: Eukaryota; Viridiplantae; Streptophyta; Magnoliopsida; Zingiberales; Musaceae
Gene name: putative disease resistance protein RGA3
Exons: 1
Source: RefSeq, a predicted model, not a curated record
AUGGCGAUGAUCCUGAACUUCUUUGUUUCAAGAUACCUUAAAGUCGUAACAGAGUUUCUGGAGGGAGAGAUAUGCAAGGUGCUAGGUGUGAAGAAGGAGAUCAAAUCGCUGACGGAAAACUUGGUCAAAAUCAGAUGUCUGAUCCAAGAUGCAGAGCGGAAGAGGCGUGGGAGCGCCGUCAUUGACAACGGGGUGAGGAUGCUGAAAGAUCUCAUGUACGAUGCCGAUGAUAUCAUCGAUCUCUGCACGAUCGAAGGUGGGAAACUGUUGGAAGCUCCGCCGGCAUCAGCGUCAGCGGUAAGCUCCCCUCUCGGCUUUGUUUCCUCUAGCUUUAUGUGCACUAAAUACCGUCAUGAGAUCGCUACCAAAAUCGAAGCACUUAAUGCUAGACUGAAAGAAAUGGCCGAGUUCAAUGCCUUGGUGCCUGAGAUAGUGUCGGCAUCCCAAGAACCCCAACCUUACAAAACAACUACACGGGAGACAUCUCCCUUAGAAGUUGAGGAGGACAUUGUAGGGGAACAGAUUGAAGUAGCUGCCCACAAUCUGAUUGAUGCCAUGCUCCAGAAAAUUAAGCAAAAGUGUCGUGUUUUUGGGAUUGUAGGGAUGGGUGGCAUCGGAAAGACCACUUUAGCACGUCAAAUAUACAACGACCAAAGGAUCAAGGACAACUUUCCCAUCAGUAAAUGGUUGUAUGCGUCUAAGGAGUAUUCCGAGAUCGAUUUACUGAAAGAGCUAGUGAGGUGUGCGGCCGAAGGUGCAGAAUCUUUUAGGGGAGAAAGCAGGUCAGAAUUGGAACCUAAACUCGCCUCUCUCCUGACCAAAAACUUGUUUCUCGUGUUGGACGACGUUUGGAGUGCAACUGUUUGGAAUGAUUUCCUCAGGAGACCACUAAGUAAAGGAGUAGGCAGCAGCAUGAUCUUAGUUACCACGAGAAAAGAAAGUGUGUUGAUAGGUAUCAGAUAUAGCUAUAUCCACCAAGUGGAGAAAAUGAAUGAAAAUAGUGGGUGGAUGUUGCUUCGGAAGAUAGUAUUCGAAGCUGGGGAGGAGGAUGACAUGCGUAGGUAGGAAAAUUGUUAGAAAAUGUGAUGGACUUCCUCUUUCCAUUAAAGCUAUUGCAGGGGUUUUAGCUUAGAAGAACAGAAGCAUAGUGAAGUGGGAAGAAGUCCUUGAGAGUGAUGCUUGAAGUAUGAACAAGAUGGAGGAUGAAGUACCGGGGGCUUUGAAUUUGAGCUACGAGGAUUUACCAUCUUACCUCAAACAAUGUUUUAUCUAUUGCUCCUUAUACCCAGAGAGAAGUACUAUACAUUUCAGACAAAUCGUUCGGUUUUGGGUGGCUGAAGGCCUUAUCGUAGAACAUGGAAAUAAUAAUAGGUUGAUGGAAGAUGUAGCCGAGGAGUACUAUCGGGAACUAGUUUGGAGGAAUCUGCUACAGUUGGAUCCAUUAUACGCAGACAAUAGUCGUUGCUCUAUGCAUGAUCAUUUACGAUCC